Molecule: transfer RNA, 71 nt
Filed under: Loxodonta africana (African savanna elephant)
Lineage: Eukaryota; Metazoa; Chordata; Mammalia; Proboscidea; Elephantidae
Rfam family: tRNA
About the family: Transfer RNA (tRNA) molecules are approximately 80 nucleotides in length. Their secondary structure includes four short double-helical elements and three loops (D, anti-codon, and T loops). Further hydrogen bonds mediate the characteristic L-shaped molecular structure. tRNAs have two regions of fundamental functional importance: the anti-codon, which is responsible for specific mRNA codon recognition, and the 3' end, to which the tRNAs corresponding amino acid is attached (by aminoacyl-tRNA synthetases). tRNAs cope with the degeneracy of the genetic code in two manners: having more than one tRNA (with a specific anti-codon) for a particular amino acid; and 'wobble' base-pairing, i.e. permitting non-standard base-pairing at the 3rd anti-codon position.
Source: Rfam by way of RNAcentral
GUCCAGGUGGUUCAAUGGUAGAAUUCUCACCUUCCAUGCAGGAGACCUGGGUUCGAUUCCCAGCCAAUGCA